UGGCUGUCGUCAGCUCGUGCCGUGAGGUGUUAGGUUAAGUCCUCGCAACGAGCGCACCCUCGUCGCUAGUUGAAUUUUCUAGCGAUACUGCCCGUAAAACGAGGAGGAAGGUGGGAUGACGUCAAGUCAGCACUGGCCCUUACGCCUUGGGCUACACACACGCUACAAUGGGUGAUACAGCAGGUUGCGAAAGAGCGAUCUGGAGCUAAUCCUUAAAAUCCAUCCUCAGUUCGGAUUGCAGGCUGAAACUGCCUGCAUGAAGUUGGAGUUGCUAGUAACCGCAGGUCAGCAAUACUGCGGUGAAUACGUUCCCGGGGGAUU
RNAcentral lists this ribosomal RNA (321 nucleotides) under uncultured Chloroflexota bacterium. Its description in RNAcentral is "bacterial SSU rRNA". It matches the Rfam family "Bacterial small subunit ribosomal RNA", at positions 1046 to 1378 of the family's 1533-position model. Lineage: Bacteria; Bacillati; Chloroflexota. The record is from RNAcentral.